UUGGAGGGCAAGUCUGGUGCCAGCAGCCGCGGUAAUUCCAGCUCCAAUAGCGUAUAUUAAAGUUGUUGCAGUUAAAAAGCUCGUAGUUGAACUUCAGGCCUGUCCAGACGGUCCGCCUUAAUUGGUGUGUACUGUCCUUGGGUGGGUCCUACCUUCUGGCGAAGCGGCAUGGCCUUAAUUGGUUGUGUCGGGGAACCAGGACUUUUACUGUGAAAAAAUUAGAGUGUUCAAAGCAGGCAAAUAUGCUCGAAUACAUUAGCAUGGAAUAAUGGAAUAGGACGAUGGUUCUAUUUUGUUGGUUCUAGGACCGUUGUAAUGAUUAAUAGGGAUAGUUGGGGGCAUUAGUAUUCAAUUGUCAGAGGUGAAAUUCUUGGAUUUAUUGAAGACUAACUACUGCGAAAGCAUUUGCCAAGGAUGUUUUCAUUAAUCAAGAACGAAAGUUAGGGGAUCGAAGACGAUCAGAUACCGUCGUAGUCUUAACCAUAAACUAUGCCGACUAGGAAUCGGGCGAUGUUGACAAAAUGACUCGCUCGGCACCUCAUGGGAAACCAAAGUGUUUGGGUUC
This 565-nucleotide ribosomal RNA is filed under the name uncultured Glomeromycotina. RNAcentral describes it as "SSU rRNA". It matches the Rfam family "Eukaryotic small subunit ribosomal RNA", at positions 548 to 1114 of the family's 1831-position model. Lineage: Eukaryota; Fungi; Glomeromycota. The record is from RNAcentral.